RNAcentral lists this long non-coding RNA (279 nucleotides) under Vicia faba (fava bean). The record is from RNAcentral. Lineage: Eukaryota; Viridiplantae; Streptophyta; Magnoliopsida; Fabales; Fabaceae.
AUGAGGAGAAGGAAAUCACAACUGUGCCAAAAAGUGAAGAGGAAAAUGGAAACCAUCAAUGCUUUAAGCAACAUCGACAUCGCCAUAGACCAUGGUUUACAACCUCCCAGGUCAGAACUCAAAUCCACUCCGACCCAACUGCACGUGCGACAGAACCACGGUCCAUCACCAUCGCGAGCCACUGGUGAACCACCUAUGGAACUUCCACGAACUGAUGGAAGAAAAAUUGAAAAAAUAAAUGGAAGGGAAAGAAGUAGACAAACAAAGGAAGAGAGAUAA